GGCACUGGGUGCACCGGCAUAGGCGGUCGCGGUCCAUGGCGGCGCGGUCGCAUGAACGGGCUGCAUAAAGAUAGGCACAGGCGCUCGCCACGCAGACGCUCGAUACAUUGUCCCUCACCCACAGGAGGGGCGCUUUGGCAAGGAACCGGCCGGCGGCUGCGUCGAUGGCCUCCUGGAGGUGGUCGAUGCCGUAGCGCUCGCACAAAAAUUGGAUCACGCCCUCGUUGCGACAAAAGAGGGCCGAUGUCAAUAUGCAGGGAGUGCACACGGCGACAUGCUCUGCGAUGGCGGCCACGGUCGCAACAGAGUUGCUGCGUACCGCUGUGCACAGCGGGUCCCACUGGUCAAAGGGCGCGAUCCCGACUUUGUCUAGAGCGAGAACCACGGCGACGUGGCCUCUCUUCAAGGCGGCUCUGGCUGCACCCACGGAUAGGUUGCGGCGCGCGUCGGGCCUGUGCGCCAGCCAGCGCACAAUGUGCUCGUGACCCCCUAGGGCCGCCGCGUACCCUAUGAGCAACGAUGGCCACCCUUGGACGACCACGGCAGGCGGUUGACUAGGUGACGGGCCGGCGUCGGCCAGAUCCAUGUGCGCGUCGCCAUCUUUGCCAUUGUCGUCGUCCACGUCGUCACAGGCGUCGGCCAUGGUCGCCCACUGAAGGACAUGGAGAUGCCCGCCACGCGCGGCGGCCAUCAGCGCGUCAAGCGGGAGAGGGUCGAAUCCGAGGCGGCACAACAUAGCCAACACGCGCACGUGGCCAUUCGAGGCAGCACGAACAGCGGCUUUCGUUAUUUCGGCCAUGUCAUAGCGAUCGUGCAGCGCCGCUGGUGGCGUUGUCUGUGGGGCCGUGUUGGCAUACACCCAACGGGCAGCCGCCGCCGACCCCGCGCGCACGGCGCACACAAAAGAAUGGGUCGCAUGCGAUAAAUUGUCGGGCGAGAGGCACUGACAGCCGCGCGUGCGCACCCAUUCGAGCACAUCGGCGCGGUCGGCGUCCAGCGCCGCGCGCUCGACUUGUGUCGUGCACACGGUUCCGUCGUCAUUCGGCAGUAGCGAGUAAUCAUGCAGGCGGAUGAUGACGUCCAACGGGGCGCCGGGUGCGCGCACGACCUUGAUGAGAAGUGAUCGAACAAACGAUGCGUCGAGACGGCAAUACAAACUCGAUGGCCCUGUGUUGCAGUGCGACAAGAGCCAGGCAAGCAUCUCAAACCGGCCGCAUUCGAUCGACAGACAGAGGGCAUCGUCGACGGGAUCGCCCUUUUUGGUCCUUUUAUACGGUCUCGGUGCCGGGCCGGCGUCAUCGCGGUGCGCCGCUGCUCUGAGGACGAGCGUCCAUUCGGGCACGGCGCAUGCCCAUUCCACUAUGUCGAUGGAGCCGACGCGGACUACCGCAACAAUCCAGUCGGGCGGUAUGGACGCGGGACCGCGAUGGGCAUAGACGGCGCGUACGACGUCGAGAGGCGCACCCGCCUCCAAGAGGUUGCCCAAAGUCACGCUGGCGAGGCGGGCGGCAGCGCUUGCAAGAGGCUCGACGGCCAGUAUCGACGAGGCCGCUGCGCAGGCCGCAAGAUCGCGCAGGCGCGUCAAGUAGCCCAGAAUGUGGACGAUGAUUUCGUCGGGCAAAUUGCCCAGGCCCACGGUCGAUGCCAUUGCUCUCGGUGGUUUCUUCUUCUUUUUUUAAUUCUUCUUCUGUUCCUCGUCUGCUUCUCACCAAAAAAAAGACCUGUCCAAGGCGACCCGGCAAUGCACGCGAUUUACAGCCCGACCAACCCGUUUUCUAUUCUUUGUGUUUUUUGCGAAAAAAGGAAUGUUUGCA
RNAcentral lists this long non-coding RNA (1814 nucleotides) under Pandoravirus quercus. RNAcentral describes it as "hypothetical ncRNA". The record is from RNAcentral.